Molecule: unclassified non-coding RNA, 358 nt
Filed under: soil metagenome
Description: partial contains 5.8S ribosomal RNA, internal transcribed spacer 2, and large subunit ribosomal RNA
Rfam family: 5.8S ribosomal RNA (bases 1-120)
Source: RNAcentral
GAUGAAGAACGCAGCGAAAUGCGAUAAGUAAUGUGAAUUGCAGAAUUCAGUGAAUCAUCGAAUCUUUGAACGCACAUUGCGCCCGUCAGUAUUCUGGCGGGCAUGCCUGUUCGAGCGUCACUACGCCCCUCAAGUCCCCUGUGGACUUGGUGUUGGGGAUCGGCGAGGCUGGUUUUCCAGCACAGCCGUCCCUUAAAUUAAUUGGCGGUCUCGCCGUGGCCCUCCUCUGCGCAGUAGUAAAACACUCGCAACAGGAGCCCGGCGCGGUCCACUGCCGUAAAACCCCCCAACUUUUUAUAGUUGACCUCGAAUCAGGUAGGACUACCCGCUGAACUUAAGCAUAUCAAUAAGCGGAGGA